Molecule: long non-coding RNA, 231 nt
Filed under: Mytilus galloprovincialis (Mediterranean mussel)
Lineage: Eukaryota; Metazoa; Mollusca; Bivalvia; Mytilida; Mytilidae
Source: RNAcentral
CUUAAAUUGUCAGUACAACUUAAAUUAUUGAACCGUGGGAUUUUUUAUUAGGUCAGGUGACCAGAUUGAUGAACGGUAAAAUAAGAUAUAAACAAAAAUGUAAGUAGUAGUCAAACAAAGUGUAAACAACGAAUCAAUAAAAUACUAUAAUUAGAUAACAGAUUGAAUUGAUACGGGCAGAAUUAAAUCCUUCGAUUUGAUACUUUCCUACCGUGAACAAUAGAAAGCGAG